CCUUACUUGUGGAUUUUGGUGAAGCUUGGAGAUAGCUUGAUUUCGAGACUCGGACAUUUUCAGUCGAUCUAGCAGGUUGUGCCGCAGCCGAGGGAGUUCCGUGCUGCCAGGGAUUAGCUUUGAGAGCCACAGGAUUCGGCUGCUACUCCUUCAGCGAAUUAGGAUCGAGGCAAGGGCGUCGCGAGUUAGAGCCCUACCCGACGAGCAGAGCUAGAG
Long non-coding RNA from Ananas comosus (pineapple), 216 nucleotides. RefSeq lists it as uncharacterized. NCBI's taxonomy places the organism in Eukaryota, Viridiplantae, Streptophyta, Magnoliopsida, Poales, Bromeliaceae. The record is from RefSeq and is a predicted model, not a curated record. The transcript is spliced from 3 exons.